GUGUGGCCACAGAAAGCGGUGUGGUCAAAAAAUUGCUGUGCCACGUGCGGAAAAACCUUUUUUGUCCCUCUUUUUGCUUACAAAAUGUUGGGAGGUAGUUAGGAGAAAAUUAUAUUUUUCAUUGGGCUCCAUUUUAAUUGUUGGCAGGACCAACAAACCAAGGAACCCAGGUAACCAGUGGGCUAAUAAUCAGGCCCUACUAAUUUAGUUGCAUGCAAUGAUUGCUGAUGCUGGUUCUGCUCACAGGGAAUGCUGAGAAGUUUUGGAACUAAAGUUCUGUAGCAGCUCCAGGAUUGUACUUUUAAAGCUGGGUUCCUGACGUGCUGGCUCUGGAUGCCGGCUUGCAGUUUCCCACUAGAUUAAAGAACAAUACUGGGAAUUUGAGUAUGAGGCUGUUUUUUCAAUCCCAUAGUUACAUGAAUACCAAGAAGUAAUAUAGGUCAAGGGAUCACUAAAAGCAUUGUCCUCAUCUUGAUGGUCACAGCUGGUUGGCAGGAGGAUUUUGGCAUUUGCUACAUGUAUUCCAUAUAGACCACAUCACCCCAAUGAUCAGCCAGCUUCAAGUGACUUGUGUCUACACCACACGUCUUCCAGGCCACAAAAGAUGCUAAUGAAGAUGUAAUUGCCCAGCCAGGGAUGCAGAAGCAUUUUCUCCUCAAAACUCCAAAUGUCACACAUGAUGUUCAUCCUGGGAGAAAAUUCUCUGAACUAUUGUAAGGCACCGCAGCUCUGUCAUGGAGCUUGCGGCCGCCUCCCCCUCAGCCUAUUUAAGUUUGCACAGGUGCAGUAACGAUGCGCAGUUAUACUUACUCUAUCUGGAAGUAAGGCUGGUAUCUCUCAUGCACCAAGAUCUUCAUGUCAAGAAUCAUCUUGCCUGCAGUCUCCUGUUCCUAGUCCUUCUACCUUUUCUCAGCCUUGCCUCAUCAGUUCCUGGCCUGCUCCAGCACCUCACUUGAACCGGCAUCUUCAAACUUUUGCUUGAUCCGUUGCUAGACAGAUCUACCCUAGCAACCACAGCUUCCUUCUCCUCAUUUCAGUAAUCAAUGUCCAGCUUCAGUCUCCAGGCUAUUGCUAACAGUUUCCUCUUCACCAAAAAUUCUUCCCCGGCAACAUCCAUAGCAACGGUCCGCAUAGCAAUCCCUCUUUACCUGUGUGAGUUAUAAUAAGCUUAUAUUUACAACUGCAUUGUUGUUGCUGCAAAGACUGUUAUUUCACCCCUGCUUGAUAUCCAUAUCAAAGACUGUGUAUUGAAUCUUUACUUGCACCCUGCCUGUGUCUACAUCAAGUCUGUGCUCAUUACUUCAUGCUUGCAUCCAGCCAAGACUGUGCUCAUUAACCCCUUGUCUGCAGCCUUCAUGUGUCUACACCAAGACUGUGCUCAUUAACCUUUGAUCUAUUGCUUAUUUCUGUUAACGGGGGUACAGAUGGUUACUCCCCCAAUCCAAGACUUUCAUGCUUGUUCCAGUUACCAUGUGUAUUGCUACUUACCUUGAGUAUUAAUUUGCUCUCACUCUAUGUACAGUCAAGUUUCCUUUCUUAAAAGAGGACUUAUUCAAGGUCAUAUCUGCUCCUCUUAUUUCCUGUGUGAAGAAAACUACUUUAUCAAAGACUGUUACUUUCUAAGGACUUUCCUAACACAGUAUACUCUCCUAGAAGCUCCUGCUUAUUUCCAGAACUACUGCGGGUUUUCCUUCUUGGGAUGUGCAGGGAUUGUCCUUCUGUGAGACCUGAAAAUAAAGAGUUUAAUUGAAUUCA
Xenopus laevis (African clawed frog) is the source of this 1755-nucleotide long non-coding RNA. RefSeq lists it as uncharacterized. The transcript is spliced from 4 exons. The record is from RefSeq and is a predicted model, not a curated record. Lineage: Eukaryota; Metazoa; Chordata; Amphibia; Anura; Pipidae.